GAUGAACGCUGGCGGCGUGCCUAAUACAUGCAAGUCGAGCGAACAGACGAGGAGCUUGCUCCUCUGAUGUUAGCGGCGGACGGGUGAGUAACACGUGGAUAACCUACCUAUAAGACUGGGAUAACUUCGGGAAACCGGAGCUAAUACCGGAUAACAUGUUGAACCGCAUGGUUCAACAGUGAAAGACGGUCUUGCUGUCACUUAUAGAUGGAUCCGCGCCGCAUUAGCUAGUUGGUAAGGUAACGGCUUACCAAGGCAACGAUGCGUAGCCGACCUGAGGGGGUGAUCAGCCACACUGGAACUGAGACACGGUCAAGACUCCUACGGGAGGCAGCAGUAGGGAAUCUUCCGCAAUGGGCGAAAGCCUGACGGAGCAACGCCGCGUGAGUGAAGAAGGUCUUCGGAUCGUAAAACUCUGUUAUUAGGGAAGAACAAAUGUGUAAGUAACUAUGCACGUCUUGACGGUACCUAAUCAGAAAGCCACGGCUAACUACGUG
RNAcentral lists this ribosomal RNA (497 nucleotides) under uncultured bacterium. Its description in RNAcentral is "partial 16S ribosomal RNA". It matches the Rfam family "Bacterial small subunit ribosomal RNA", at positions 28 to 507 of the family's 1533-position model. The record is from RNAcentral.